GAUGAACGCUGGCGGCGUGCCUAAUACAUGCAAGUCGAACGCUGGAAAUCUAGCUUGCUCGAUUGAAGGAGUGGCGAACGGGUGAGUAAUACAUAAGCAACCUACCCACGAAGACUGGGAUAAUCUCUGGAAACGGGGACUAAUACCGGAUAGGUAAUCGGAAGGCAUCUUCUGAUUAUUAAAGGUUAAAAACACUGGUGGAUGGGCUUAUGGCGCAUUAGUUAGUUGGUGAGGUAACGGCCCACCAAGACGAUGAUGCGUAGCCGGCCUGAGAGGGUGAACGGCCACAUUGGGACUGAGACACGGCCCAGACUCCUACGGGAGGCAGCAGUAGGGAAUUUUCGGCAAUGGGGGAAACCCUGACCGAGCAACGCCGCGUGAGUGAUGACGGCCUUCGGGUUGUAAAGCUCUGUUGUAAGGGAAGAACGGUAGAUAGAGAAUAUCUAAAUGACGGUACCUGACCAGAAAGCCACGGCUAACUACGUG
Molecule: ribosomal RNA, 486 nt
Filed under: uncultured bacterium
Lineage: Bacteria
Description: partial 16S ribosomal RNA
Rfam family: Bacterial small subunit ribosomal RNA
Source: RNAcentral